This is a long non-coding RNA of Eriocheir sinensis (Chinese mitten crab), 1089 nucleotides long. RefSeq lists it as uncharacterized. Lineage: Eukaryota; Metazoa; Arthropoda; Malacostraca; Decapoda; Varunidae. The transcript is spliced from 2 exons. The record is from RefSeq and is a predicted model, not a curated record.
GGGAAACAGUUUUAUUGAAGCUUUAUUUCUUGAACUGUAAUAAAACGCGACCGAACCAAGACCCAAAGAACCACAGAGAAAUGUAAUGACACUAAUAUCACUCAGACAUUGCUCCCGAAAGCGUAACAACAGAAACCAAAGAGAGAUCAUUAUAUUUAGUUCCUGUGGUGUUUUGCGAUGUCUUGAUGGCCAUUACAGUUACCAAAUGGCUCUUUGUGGGGUAUUUAGACGAUUAGGGAACGUGACUCGCUGUUGGUCUGCGUGUGUGUGUGUGUGUGUAAUUACUGAAGGCAAGAUUAUCAGUAUUGGUUUUUGCGUAAGAGCGAAAGUAAGUUCAUUAAAUUUUACUGCUGGAUGCCAUUAACCGCUUUACGUGCUUGUGUGUGUGUGUGUGUGAGGGGGGGAGAGAAGGAAGGAAGAAAGAAAGGAAAGAAGAAGGAAGGAAAGACACUCGCUACACUUUCCCUCCACUCCUUUUAUUUAACACGGCAAUCCAGUCCCUUCACCUUCCCCAACAAGUACAUAAACAUCUUCGGCCAGUACACGAACCAGUCACGUCUCCGAAUGACCUCAAUCACAUCUCCAUUCUCCAUCUCAAGAGUGUGUGUUUGCAGACGGUGAUAAUGAAAAACUUGGAGUGAAUGCAAACAGUAUGUAUUUACCUUCAGUACCACCAGAUAAUAACUAUAACGUUGCACAGGCGCUUGGUUCUCGUGUAAUUAGGUAACCGAAUCUUUAUAUAUCACAACCUGGGAACACUACACCAAACUCAAGGGAAAGUAUACCAAGAACAGAUGAACUAGAACACGAGAUACCGGUGCUAAUAACGAUGCAAAUGAACAGGAAUACAAUGUUGCUGAAGUAUUUCUGCAUCACAACCUGGAAACAGUGCACCAAACUCAAGGGAAAGUAUACAAAGAACUUAUUACCUAGAACACGCGCUGCCCUUGCUAAUAUUACUGCAAAUAAACUUGAAUACAUUGUUGCUUAAGUAUAUCCGUCUUGAAUAAGCUAAUCUGAAAGGCAACUACGGAACAAUGCCUCGAGGUAGAGAGACAAAAAGUUAACCCGACACCAAGAAGCUUAAAA